AACGAACGCUGGCGGCAUGCCUAACACAUGCAAGUCGAACGAGACCUUCGGGUCUAGUGGCGCACGGGUGCGUAACGCGUGGGAACCUGCCCUUAGGUUCGGAAGAACUCCCCGAAAGGGGUGCUAAUACCGGAUAAUGUCUUCGGACCAAAGAUUUAUCGCCUUUGGAUGGGCGCGCGUUGGAUUAGCUAGUUAGUAGGGUAAAAGCCUACAACGGCGACGAUCCAUAGCUGGUCUGAGAGGAUGAUCAGCCACACUGGGACGGAGACACGGCCGAGACUCCUACGGGAGGCGGCAGUGGGGAAUAUUGGACAGUGGGGGAAAGGCUGAACCAGCAAUGCCGCGUGAGUGAUGAAGGCCUUAGGGUUGUAAAGCUCUUUUACCCGGGAUGAUAAUGACAGUACCGGGAGAAUAAGCACCGGCUAACUCCGUG
Molecule: ribosomal RNA, 433 nt
Filed under: uncultured bacterium
Lineage: Bacteria
Description: partial 16S ribosomal RNA
Rfam family: Bacterial small subunit ribosomal RNA
Source: RNAcentral